This 452-nucleotide ribosomal RNA is filed under the name uncultured soil bacterium. Its description in RNAcentral is "bacterial SSU rRNA". It matches the Rfam family "Bacterial small subunit ribosomal RNA", at positions 26 to 491 of the family's 1533-position model. The record is from RNAcentral.
AGAUUGAACGCUGGCGGCAUGCUUUACACAUGCAAGUCGAACGGUAACAGGCCGCAAGGUGCUGACGAGUGGCGAACGGGUGAGUAAUGCAUCGGAACGUGCCCAGUCGUGGGGGAUAACGCAGCGAAAGCUGUGCUAAUACCGCAUACGAUCUAUGGAUGAAAGCGGGGGACCGAAAGGCCUCGCGCGAUUGGAGCGGCCGAUGUCAGAUUAGCUAGUUGGUGGGGUAAAGGCCCACCAAGGCGACGAUCUGUAGCUGGUCUGAGAGGACGACCAGCCACACUGGAACUGAGACACGUCAGACUCCUAGGGAGCAGCAGGUGGGAAUUUUGGACAAGUGGGCGCAAGGCCUGAUCCAGACAAUGCCGCGUAGCGAAGGAAGUAAGGCCUUAGGGUUCGUAAACGUGUACGUUUUACGUAACGGAACGGUAAACGGUUACGUUAGGUUAAAC